Molecule: ribosomal RNA, 438 nt
Filed under: uncultured bacterium
Lineage: Bacteria
Description: partial 16S ribosomal RNA
Rfam family: Bacterial small subunit ribosomal RNA
Source: RNAcentral
CUACGGGAGGCUCCAGUGGGGAAUUUUGCGCAAUGGGCGAAAGCCUGACGCAGCAACGCCGCGUGCGGGAUGAAGGCCUUCGGGUCGUAAACCGCUUUCAGCAGGGAAGAAGUUGACUGUACCUGCAGAAGAAGCUCCGGCUAACUACGUGCCAGCAGCCGCGGUAAUACGUAGGGAGCGAGCGUUAUCCGGAUUUAUUGGGCGUAAAGCGCGCGUAGGCGGCUUGCCAAGCGGGAUCUCAAAACCGAGGGCUCAACCCCCGGACGGAUCCCGAACUGGCAGGCUCGAGUUCGGUAGGGGAAGAUGGAAUUCCCAGUGUAGCGGUGAAAUGCGCAGAUAUUGGGAAGAACACCGAUGGCGAAGGCAGUCUUCUGGGCCGCAACUGACGCUGAGGUGCGAAAGCUAGGGGAGCGAACAGGAUUAGAUACCCUAGUAGUC